GCUCAUUACGCCCCUGAAGCCUGUGAAAAGUCCCACUCUAGGGAAACGCUUCAGUGUCAACUGCCAGGCUCAGAGCCCCUUCCCGAGGAUGACCCUCAUCUACUGGCUGGCAAACAGCUCCUUCGUGGAGGACCGAUACCCAGACGAGGCAGUGAGCGAAGGGGACGUCGUAACGGAGCCCAGGGGCACCAAGGUCCUCCUGACCCGGGAGCUGCUCUUCCGCUCCUUCUCCCGGCGGGACUGGAGCACCUCGUUCCUGUGCAUGGUGAGGAACCCAGCCGGGCUGGAAAAGGGACUGGUCCACUGGGACCCUGAGCCACCAGCCCAGAUCUCCGAGCCACAGCAGGAGACAAGGCAGGACAUCCAGACCCUGACGAGCACCCCCACCAUGGACUGGGCCAAGAGCACGGACUGAGCGCGGGGAGAGCAGCGCCGGCCCCCGAGAGGCAUCGAUAUUGUACCCAUGGCUGCCAAGCUCCACUUCCCUGGCAAAGCCCUGCCAGCCUCCCUCCACGGCCCAGCUGCCUUCCCCUGCCCCUUCUGUUUCCCCUGUGUCUGCUUGGAGCCCCACCCCAAACACACUGCACUGGUGAGGGAGGCUCCCAUAGGACUUGCCCUUGGGUCACGGCCUGGGAAAGGCCCACGUCUUCUACCCACCCCCAUCCCUCUUCCACUGCUCUGGCAGGGUCAUUCUCGGCCCUAGUGACCAAAGCCACCCCCUGCUGCCAGCCCAGCCUAUGAGUGAAGAGCAGGGUCCCUUCAACAGCUGCCAGCAGUGCCCUGCCUGUUACAUGCCUGGGGGCAGCACCAGCUUGGGGCAGGGGCUGGGAGACCAGCACCCCCUGGCCUGUGGCUGCCAGCUCUCUUCCCACGUCACACAGCAUCUAUUAAAUAAACA
RNAcentral lists this long non-coding RNA (898 nucleotides) under Chelonoidis abingdonii (Abingdon island giant tortoise). RNAcentral's name for it is "lncRNA (ENSCABG00000018401.1)". Lineage: Eukaryota; Metazoa; Chordata; Testudines; Testudinidae. The record is from RNAcentral.